Gadus chalcogrammus (walleye pollock) is the source of this 357-nucleotide non-coding RNA. The record is from the annotation of a RefSeq genome assembly. NCBI's taxonomy places the organism in Eukaryota, Metazoa, Chordata, Actinopteri, Gadiformes, Gadidae.
UUUGGUGGAGGCACCAAACUCAUCGUUGACUUGGGAGUGGUGCAGCCCACGCUGAGCGUCCUCCCUCCCUCCAGAGUGGAGCUGGAGCAGGGCAGUGCUACACUAGUGUGUGUGGCCAGUGGGGGCUUCCCCUCAGACUGGAAGCUUGGCUGGAAGGUGGGGGGCAGCAGCAGGUCUGGGGGGGUGUCCGAUAGCCUGGUGGUCCUGGGGAAAGAUGGCCACUACAGCUGGAGCAGCACCUUGACCCUCCCUGCAGACCAGUGGAGGAAGGCGGGCUCAGUGAGCUGUGAGGCCAGUAAGAAUGGCCAGACGCAGCCUGUCACUCAAACCCUGAAUCCUGGAGAGUGUUCAGAGUAG